UUGCUAUCUGCGAUAUGGAAGAUUCGAACCUGCCGCAGGUUCGGGUCUCACGUAGUGAAACAACGGAGCCGCUUGCGGCGACGGCCCGAAGGGCGAGCAAAGCGAGUCAUCCUGCACGACCCACCA
RNAcentral lists this small RNA (126 nucleotides) under Salmonella enterica. RNAcentral describes it as "RtT sRNA". It matches the Rfam family "RtT RNA". Rfam says of the family: This family represents a bacterial cis-regulatory element known as RtT RNA. The exact function of RtT is unknown although it is thought that it may be involved in changing the cellular response in relation to amino acid starvation. Lineage: Bacteria; Pseudomonadati; Pseudomonadota; Gammaproteobacteria; Enterobacterales; Enterobacteriaceae. The record is from RNAcentral.